RNAcentral lists this ribosomal RNA (1489 nucleotides) under uncultured bacterium. RNAcentral's name for it is "16S ribosomal RNA". It matches the Rfam family "Bacterial small subunit ribosomal RNA". The record is from RNAcentral.
AGAGUUUGAUCCUGGCUCAGGAUGAACGCUAGCUACAGGCUUAACACAUGCAAGUCGAGGGGCAGCAUGAACUUAGCUUGCUAAGUUUGAUGGCGACCGGCGCACGGGUGAGUAACACGUAUCCAACCUGCCGAUGACUCGGGGAUAGCCUUUCGAAAGAAAGAUUAAUACCCGAUGGCAUAGUUCUUCCGCAUGGUAGAACUAUUAAAGAAUUUCGGUCAUCGAUGGGGAUGCGUUCCAUUAGGUUGUUGGCGGGGUAACGGCCCACCAAGCCUUCGAUGGAUAGGGGUUCUGAGAGGAAGGUCCCCCACAUUGGAACUGAGACACGGUCCAAACUCCUACGGGAGGCAGCAGUGAGGAAUAUUGGUCAAUGGACGAGAGUCUGAACCAGCCAAGUAGCGUGAAGGAUGACUGCCCUAUGGGUUGUAAACUUCUUUUAUACGGGAAUAAAGUGAGGCACGUGUGCCUUUUUGUAUGUACCGUAUGAAUAAGGAUCGGCUAACUCCGUGCCAGCAGCCGCGGUAAUACGGAGGAUCCGAGCGUUAUCCGGAUUUAUUGGGUUUAAAGGGAGCGUAGGCGGACGCUUAAGUCAGUUGUGAAAGUUUGCGGCUUAACCGUAAAAUUGCAGUUGAUACUGGGUGUCUUGAGUACAGUAGAGGCAGGCGGAAUUCGUGGUGUAGCGGUGAAAUGCUUAGAUAUCACGAAGAACUCCGAUUGCGAAGGCAGCCUGCUGGACUGUAACUGACGCUGAUGCUCGAAGGUGUGGGUAUCAAACAGGAUUAGAUACCCUGGUAGUCCACACAGUAAACGAUGAAUACUCGUUGUUUGCGAUAUACAGUAAGCGGCCAAGCGAAAGCGUUAAGUAUUCCACCUGGGGAGUACGCCGGCAACGGUGAAACUCAAAGGAAUUGACGGGGGCCCGCACAAGCGGAGGAACAUGUGGUUUAAUUCGAUGAUACGCGAGGAACCUUACCCGGGCUUGAAUUGCAACUGAAUGAUGUGGAGACAUGUCAGCCGCAAGGCAGUUGUGAAGGUGCUGCAUGGUUGUCGUCAGCUCGUGCCGUGAGGUGUCGGCUUAAGUGCCAUAACGAGCGCAACCCUUAUCGAUAGUUACCAUCAGGUGAUGCUGGGGACUCUGUCGAGACUGCCGUCGUAAGAUGUGAGGAAGGUGGGGAUGACGUCAAAUCAGCACGGCCCUUACGUCCGGGGCUACACACGUGUUACAAUGGGGGGUACAGAAGGCAGCUACACGGCGACGUGAUGCUAAUCCCGAAAGCCUCUCUCAGUUCGGAUUGGAGUCUGCAACCCGACUCCAUGAAGCUGGAUUCGCUAGUAAUCGCGCAUCAGCCACGGCGCGGUGAAUACGUUCCCGGGCCUUGUACACACCGCCCGUCAAGCCAUGAAAGCCGGGGGUACCUGAAGUGCGUAACCGCAAGGAGCGCCCUAGGGUAAAACUGGUGAUUGGGGCUAAGUCGUAACAAGGUAGCCG